This is a regulatory RNA element of 48 nucleotides. It matches the Rfam family "S15-Flavobacteria ribosomal protein leader". The record is from Rfam.
UAUAUUUGCUGCUCAAUACAUAAUAAUCAUUAAAAUAAUAUUGGCAUG